UACGAAGGGGGCGAGCGUUGUUCGGAUUUACUGGGCGUAAAGGGCGCGUAGGCGGGCCGCCAAGUCAGGGGUGAAAGCCCCCAGCUCAACUGGGGAAGUGCCUUUGAUACUGGCGGUCUCGAGGGGGAUAGGGGCGUGCGGAACUUCCGGUGGAGCGGUGAAAUGCGUAGAUAUCGGAAGGAACACCGGUGGCGAAAGCGGCGCGCUGGAUCCCUUCUGACGCUGAGGCGCGAAAGCCAGGGGAGCGAACGGG
RNAcentral lists this ribosomal RNA (253 nucleotides) under uncultured bacterium. RNAcentral describes it as "partial 16S ribosomal RNA". It matches the Rfam family "Bacterial small subunit ribosomal RNA", at positions 524 to 776 of the family's 1533-position model. The record is from RNAcentral.